This 463-nucleotide ribosomal RNA is filed under the name uncultured bacterium. RNAcentral describes it as "partial 16S ribosomal RNA". It matches the Rfam family "Bacterial small subunit ribosomal RNA", at positions 28 to 507 of the family's 1533-position model. The record is from RNAcentral.
GAUGAACGCUGACAGAAUGCUUAACACAUGCAAGUCGAUGGGGAAGUGGUGCUUGCACCAUGGUAACCCUGGCGGACGGGUGAGUAACACGUAAGGAACUUACCUGCGGGACCGGGAUAACAGCAGGAAACUGCUGACAAGACCGGAUAAGGUCAUUAAGCUGCAUAGCUUAGUGAUGAAAGGAGACGCCUGCGGAGAGCCUUGCGUCCUAUUAGCUAGUUGGAGGGGUAACGGCCCACCAAGGCGAAGAUAGGUAGCCGGCCUGAGAGGGUGGACGGCCACAAGGGGACUGAGAUACGGCCGUUACUCCUACGGGAGGCAGCAGUGGGGAAUAUUGGACAAUGGGGGCAACCCUGAUCCAGCAAUUCUGUGUGCACGAAGACGGUUUUCGGAUUGUAAAGUGCUUUCAGCAGGGAAGAAGGAAGUGACGGUACCUGCAGAAGAAGCGACGGCUAAAUACGUG